CUACAGGCCAAUACCCUGAUCAAAAUCGAUACAAAAAUCCUCAACAAAAUACUGGUAAACAAAUCCAACACAUUAAAAAUAAUUCAUUGUGGAUCCUUGCAAAUGUUAUCUGCUGAGAUGCCUCACACAGAGACUGUCUCUCCUUUUCCUUCCUCUAUGGAUCUGCUUAUUCAGGACAGCCCUGAUUUUUCCACCAGUCCCAAAGGCAAACAAUCCACUGCAGCAGAGAAUUGCGCCACAAAAAAGGAAGACAAGGUCGCAGUCAAGAAAUAGAAGACCAGAACUGUGUUCUCGUUUACCCAGCUUUGUGUACUCAAUGAUAGAUUUCAGAAACAGAAAUUCCUUAGCCUUUAGCAGAUGCAAGAACUUUCCAACAGCCUGAACCUUAGCUACAAACAGGCAAAGACCUGGUUCCAGAACCAGAGAAUGAAAUCUAAGAGGUGGCAUUAAAACAACUGACCAAAGAACAGCAAUGGUGUGACUCAGAAGGCCUCAGCACCUGCCUACCCCAGCCUCUACUCUUCCUACCACCAGGGAUGCCUGCUGGACACAACUGGGAACAUUUCAGUGUGGAGCAACCAGACCUGGAGCAAUUCACCCUGGAGCAACCAGACCCGGAAUAUCCAGUCCUGGAGCAAUCACUCCUGGAACACUCAGAAUUGGUGCACCCAGUCCUGAAACAAUCAGGCCUGGAACAAUCCCUUCUAUAACUGUGGAGAGGAAUCUCUGGAAUCUCUGCAGUCCUGAUUGCAAUUCCAGCCAAAUUCUGCCAGUGACUUGCAGGCUGCUUUGGAAACUGCUGGGGAAAGCCAUAAUGUAAUACAGCAGACCACUAGGUGUAUUAGUACUCCACAAACCAUGGAUUUGUUCCUAAACUACUCCACGAACAUGCAACCUGAAGAUGUAUGAAGAUGAGUGAAAUUGAUAUUACUCAAUUUCACUCUGGGCACUGACUGAAUCCUUCCUCUCCCUUCUUCCCCUCCUUCAUAGGAUUUUUUUUGUUUGGAAAUCACAUGUUCUGGUUUCCAUCAUGCCUAUACAGCCAAUUUUAUGGAGGAUGGGAUAUGGUUGGAGCCUAAUCAGAGAGGUUUCUUUUUUUUUUUUUUCUUAUUGGAUCUUCCUGGAGAAAAAACAUUUUGAUAACCUUGGCUGAUAAGGACAACAUGAUAGAAGCUGUCUCUGGCUAUAGAUAAGUAGAUCUAAUGCUAGUUUGGAUAUGUUUAGGGUUUCGAAUCUAACCUCAAGAAUAAGAAAUAAAAGUACAAA
Molecule: RNA transcript, 1266 nt
Organism: Cebus imitator (Panamanian white-faced capuchin)
Lineage: Eukaryota; Metazoa; Chordata; Mammalia; Primates; Cebidae
Gene name: homeobox protein NANOG-like
Exons: 1
Source: RefSeq, a predicted model, not a curated record